RNAcentral lists this non-coding RNA (24 nucleotides) under Arabidopsis thaliana (thale cress). Lineage: Eukaryota; Viridiplantae; Streptophyta; Magnoliopsida; Brassicales; Brassicaceae. The record is from RNAcentral.
AAUCAACUAACAAACACCGCCGAU